This 414-nucleotide ribosomal RNA is filed under the name uncultured bacterium. RNAcentral's name for it is "bacterial SSU rRNA". It matches the Rfam family "Bacterial small subunit ribosomal RNA", at positions 28 to 422 of the family's 1533-position model. The record is from RNAcentral.
GACGAACGCUGGCGGCGUGCCUAACACAUGCAAGUCGAACGAAGCACUUCUGAAUGGAGAUUCGUCAAAGUUCAGAUUUGACUUAGUGGCGGACGGGUGAGUAAUGCAUGAGCAACCUGCCCUGCAGUGGGGGACAACAGUUGGAAACGACUGCUAAUACCGCAUGAUGUAUCUGGAAGGCAUCUUCCGGAUACCAAAGAUUUAUCGCUGUGGGAUGGGCUCAUGUCUGAUUAGUUAGUUGGUGGGGUAAACGGCCUACCAAGACUGCGAUCAGUAGCCGGACUGAGAGGUUGAACGGCACAUUGGGACUGAGAUACGGCCCAGACUCCUACGGGAGGCAGCAGUGGGGAAUAUUGGGCAAUGGGCGAAAGCCUGACCCAGCAAACGCCGCGUGAAGGAAGAAGGUACUUCGGA